Molecule: long non-coding RNA, 1557 nt
Organism: Triticum dicoccoides
Lineage: Eukaryota; Viridiplantae; Streptophyta; Magnoliopsida; Poales; Poaceae
Exons: 3
Source: RefSeq, a predicted model, not a curated record
CCGGUCUCACCAUGGAUUGGAAAUUCUUUCAGCCCUAGACUAGACACUGCGAGCAGCCAAACAUGAGAAUAACGCCCGACUCGACCCCUCCCGGCCGCGGCGCCAGUCGACGGCAGCAUCGCCGGCGCACGCCGCCCGACCCCGCCCCGUUCCGUGGUCGCCUCCGACCCGCCCCUUGCUCUUGCUUCUUCUGCUGCUACUCUGCUGCGUUCAGGCGAGCGCCUACGACCCGCUCGAUCCGAGCGGAAACAUCACCGUUAGCUGGGACUUCGUCGACAUCAAGGACAUUUACUCGGUCUCGGUUAGUCUCCAGAACUACCAGCUCUACCGCCACCUCGAGGAUCCAGGGUGGCGGCUGAGCUGGUUUUGGGCUGGCGAUGAGGUGAUCUUGGAUGCGAAGGGCGCGGAGGCGACCGAGCAGGGAAACUGCACUCGCUUCGUCGGUGCUCACAGCUGCGAGAAGCGGCCUGUAAUGAUGGACCUGGGCCCCGGCGUGCCGUACAACCUUCAGGUCGCCAACUGCUGCCGGGGCGGUGUCCUGUCUUCGGUCAUGCAGAACAGCAAGGCGGCCACAUCGACGUUCAUGAUGACCGUCGGCAACUUUGCUCCUUCCAGCGACGGCAGCCCCCAGAUGCCAUUCAAUUUCAGCAUUGGGGUGCCAGGUUACACUUGCAGGAAUGCCACAGUGGUGCCCCCAUCCAGGCCCAGAUCAACAAGCAGCGGCACAUCCAGGCCCUGAGUAUGUCUUUUACUUGCGAGUGUAAUUUAUUUAGUAGAGGUCUUGCAAUACGUAGCAUUUAUCUGAUUAUUCUUGUUGUGCAAUGUAUAGUUGCAGUCUUGCAGAUAGGAAUUAACAAAUAUCACAACACCAGGCAAUGAAAAUACACGAGUGAUAGUCAAAAACACAGUUUGCUUGCUCCACCCAAAUCAACCAAAAUCAAAUCAAGUUACAAUUCAUUUAAAAUAAAAAUCAUAAACUAAUAGAGUAUUUUGCUUCGAUAAUCGUUCUGGCCGUGGUGACGGCGUCCAUUGAGAGAAGUUAACCAACGCUAUACCUAUUACUUAAUAUAUGGUAGAAACAAAAGCGGUAUAAUUUACACUGUACAGCAAAAUCUAUACUCGGAGACGGAACUUUGUGACACAAACCAAUAGAUGCUAUAGCGUUACAACUAACAACUGCACAGAUAGUGGUGGCUGCAACUACCUGAUGCCGACAGGACAGAGAAAAUACACUGCCUCCUGCACAUGAGAACUAUGCUUCUAAAGCUCGUUAAUUUGUUCAAACACGAGUGUAGCUAGCAGAUCAAUUAAGCACACCUCAAAUCCACUUUAAUCAGGCCUUAGUAACAUGGAAUCUAGAAGUAUCAUACUUAUAUUCUUUUGGGUAAAAGAUAUCGUACUUAUGUAAAUGCGCAAGAAACAGUACAAAGUUCAGUAAAGAGAAGCUAAAAACACCAUUCAUUUACUAUACAAGUGAACUAUUUCUUCUCAAGCAUGCAGCCAUUCAUUUACUAUACAGCAGGGCUAUUUCUAACCAUCAUCAUUCUAUUUGUUCCU